This 45-nucleotide transfer RNA is filed under the name Toxicodendron vernicifluum (Chinese lacquer tree). RNAcentral's name for it is "partial tRNA-Leu". Lineage: Eukaryota; Viridiplantae; Streptophyta; Magnoliopsida; Sapindales; Anacardiaceae. The record is from RNAcentral.
AAAAUCCGUCGACUUUUGAAAUCGUGAGGGUUCAAGUCCCUCUAU